AGAGUUUGAUCCUGGCUCAGAACGAACGCUGGCGGCAGGCUUAACACAUGCAAGUCGAGCGAGCAAGCCCCUUCGGGGGUGAGUAGAGCGGCGAACGGGUGAGUAACACGUGAGUAAUCUGCCCUCGGGCUCGGGAUAACAUCGCGAAAGUGGUGCUAAUACCGGAUGAGACCACGCGACUGCGGUCGAGUGGGAAAAGAAUGGGAUCUCUUCGGAGACCAUUCACCUGAGGAUGAGCUCGCGGCCCAUCAGGUCGUUGGUGAGGGUAACGGCCCACCAAGCCGAAGACGGGUAGCUGGUCUGAGAGGACGAUCAGCCACACUGGAACUGAGACACGGUCCAGACUCCUACGGGAGGCAGCAGUGGGGAAUCUUGCGCAAUGGGCGAAAGCCUGACGCAGCCAUGCCGCGUGAGUGAAGAAGGCCUGCGGGUCGUAAAACUCUGUCCAGAGGGACGAACAAGGAGCACUCGAAGAGGGUGCGCCCCUGACGGUACCUCUGAAGAAAGCACCGGCUAACUCCGUGCCAGCAGCCGCGGUAAUACGGAGGGUGCAAGCGUUGUUCGGAAUUACUGGGCGUAAAGAGUGUGUAGGCGGCGGUGCAAGUCGGGUGUGAAAGCCCCGGGCUCAACCCGGGAAAUGCGCUCGAAACUGCACGGCUAGAA
This 663-nucleotide ribosomal RNA is filed under the name uncultured bacterium. RNAcentral describes it as "bacterial SSU rRNA". It matches the Rfam family "Bacterial small subunit ribosomal RNA", at positions 8 to 646 of the family's 1533-position model. The record is from RNAcentral.